Molecule: ribosomal RNA, 406 nt
Filed under: Bacillus subtilis
Lineage: Bacteria; Bacillati; Bacillota; Bacilli; Caryophanales; Bacillaceae
Description: bacterial SSU rRNA
Rfam family: Bacterial small subunit ribosomal RNA
Source: RNAcentral
UAACGCAUUAAGCACUCCGCCUGGGGAGUACGGUCCAAGACUGAAACUCAAAGGAAUGACGGGGGCCCGCCAAGCGGUGGAGCAUGUGGUUUAAUUCGAAGCAACGCGAAGAACCUACCAGGUCUUGACAUCCUCUGACAAUCCUAGAGAUAGGACGUCCCCUUCGGGGGCAGAGUGACAGGUGGUGCAUGGUUGUCGUCAGCUCGUGUCGUGAGAUGUUGGGUUAAGUCCCGCAACGAGCGCAACCCUUGAUCUUAGUUGCCAGCAUUCAGUUGGGCACUCUAAGGUGACUGCCGGUGACAAACCGGAGGAAGGUGGGGAUGACGUCAAAUCAUCAUGCCCCUUAUGACCUGGGCUACACACGUGCUACAAUGGACAGAACAAAGGGCAGCGAAACCGCGAGGUU